Molecule: ribosomal RNA, 105 nt
Filed under: Triticum aestivum (bread wheat)
Lineage: Eukaryota; Viridiplantae; Streptophyta; Magnoliopsida; Poales; Poaceae
Also listed under: 1 other name
Source: RNAcentral
GUUAGUGGCUACCAGUAUAUAUUUGUUAUGACUGAGUAUAUGUAUGCUUGGGCGAGAGUAGUACUAGGAUGGGUGACCUCCUGGGAAGUCCUCGUGUUGCAUUCC